ACGGCAGAAAAUUAGGUGACAGGUCAAGAACAACAACGGGAAUAACGGAAAUAACGAAAAUAAGGAAAAUAACAGAAAUAACGGAAAGAACGGAAAGAACAGAAAGAACAGAAAGAAUGGAAAAUACGGAAAUAAUAACGGAAAUAACGGAAAUAACCUCCACAGGGACAGAAACAUACAGCAGAAAAUUAACUGACAGGUCAUGAACAACAACAGAAAUAACUGAAAUAAAGGAAAUAACGGAAAUAACCUCCGAAAGGCAUAAACAUACAGCAGAAAAUUAGUUGACAGGUCAAGAAGAACAAUGGAAAGAACGGAAAUAACGGAAAGAACCUCCAGAGAGAAAGAAAAAUACGGCAAAAAAUUUGGUGACAGGUCAAGAAGAACAACCGAAAUAACAGAAAAAACCAAAAUAACGGAAAUAAUAACGGAAAUAACAGAAAUAAUAACGGAAAUAGCGGAAAAAAUAACGGGAAUACUAAGAGAAAAAAAUAACGGAAAUAGUAACGGAAAUAACGGAUAUAACUGAAAUAACCGAAAUAACUCCACAGAGACAGAAACAUACGGCAGAAAAUUAGGUGACAGGUGAAGAACAACAACGGAAAUAACAGAAAAAAACAAAAUAACGGAAAUAGUAACGGAAAUACCAGAAACAAUUACGGAAAUACAAAAAAAUAAUAAGGCAAAUAAGAACGGAAAUAAGAGCAGAAAUAAUGGAAAUAAUAACGGAAAUAAUAACCUAAAUAACGGAAAUAACAGAAAUAACGGAAAUA
Molecule: long non-coding RNA, 773 nt
Filed under: Gallus gallus (chicken)
Lineage: Eukaryota; Metazoa; Chordata; Aves; Galliformes; Phasianidae
Description: lncRNA (ENSGALG00010006771.1)
Source: RNAcentral